Molecule: long non-coding RNA, 2201 nt
Filed under: Cyanistes caeruleus (blue tit)
Lineage: Eukaryota; Metazoa; Chordata; Aves; Passeriformes; Paridae
Description: lncRNA (ENSCCEG00000002584.1)
Source: RNAcentral
GCCAAAACCCCCGAUCAAUCCGGCCCCGAGGAAUUAUCCCAGUCCGCCAGAGCCCGGAUUGGUCCCGCAGCAUUCCCGGGAUGACUUCAUCGGGAUCCAGCCCCGAGCCGGCAGCGCCGGGAGCUUUUCCAUGUUGACAAACAGCUGAACUCUUGGAGCCCUGAAUCGAUCCAGCGGCAAUUCCAGGAGCUGAAAUCCCUGCGGAAUUCCCAGGCUCAGAGCCUCGGGCUGUUCCCCCCGGGAAGCACAGCCACGUUUUUCCCCAGGAAUUGCACAGUCAAAAGAAUAAAAGGCUGUUUUGGUAAAAAGCAGGGUGAAAUCCAGGGAAAUUCUGCCCCAGCGGCUCAGAAUCCCUGAGAAUCCUCAGGCAUCUUUUCCAAGCGCUGUUUGGAAUUGUUAUCACCCGGAGAUGAUUCCCCGCUUCCCGAGCACGGAGCCUUCCAUUCCCUUCAUAAACUUACACAGGUCAGGAAUCCGCUCCAGCCUCCCCCGAUCCCAAAUUCCUUAAGGAAUUCUGUCUGCGCAUCCCACAGCGAGUCCCAUCCGUGUCCCGGCGGGCAUCCCACACCCCCCGCAUCCCUUCCCUGGGUUAUUCCCGGGGGAGGUUUGUUCACAAUUCAAUCCCUUACCAGCCGCAUGGUGAAGUUUCCCAGGAAAAGGAGGCAGGAAUGCGGCUCCUCCCGGCGCUGGCUCCCGUGGAAUAGCAGGAAUAGACGGGGAAGCUGCAAACCUUGGAGUUGAAAAUCCUCAAAGAGAGAGGGGAAAAUCCGGGAAGAGGCAGAUGGGGAGCUCCCAGCCCGCAGGCAGAGAGAUGAGAAACUUGUGGCACGGCUCCAGCGCAGGGAUGGAUCCGCUGGAAUUCCCAGCCAUGGGAAUGAGCCAAACUUGCAUUUACGGGAGGCUCUGAUCCCUGCAAGGAGCGAUUUCCAGGGAAUCCAGCGGGGAGCGACGCUGGCUCCAAAAGGGAAUGGCGGGGCCAAAAGACUCUGGAAGGCUCAGACCAACAACCCUUGGUGCUCCAAACUCCAGUUUUCCAUGGAUGAUUUGGUCUCCUGAGCUCCAGCCCCUCUUCCUCACCUCUCCCUGCAGGAAAACCCUCUCAGCCCUUCCCAGGAGCCGGGGUUGUCCUUCCCUGUGCUCCCAGGAGCUGAUCCCAGGAUCCCAGGAUUUGAUGGAUGGCCUUGGGCAGAUGGAACAGGAGAGGAGAGCGGGAAGGACACACAGAGCUCUGGCUGGGAAAGCAGGAUCUGGGCAUGUUCCUGUUCCAGUUCCCACUGGAAUAAUGAGAAUAAUUAGCACUGGAAUAAUAAUCUGGAAUAAUGAGCACUUCCUGCCCAACCAACGGCUUUUAAAGCAAUCAAAAUCCAGGAGCUCCUGCGUCCCCAGAGCUGCCUGGGAACCCUCCUGGGAACCCAGGAAUUAAAUCAGGAAUGAAAUCCACGAAGCUAAAGGGAUCAUUUUCCUCUCUGAUCAGUGGGAUCUGAGACUGUGAGGAGAUCUCGGAGCUGCACUAAAUACCCAGCCAGCCCCCACAUUCCCUCCAUGGAAUUGCAGCAGCCCAGGAUGGUUUCAUCAGAAUUUUUCUGGAGGAUCAAUUCCCAUCUGCUGGACUUGACCACGGAUUUGCUGUGAUCUGGAACGGGACGCUCCAGCCAACCCCCACGUCCAUCCAUGGAAUUUCAGAAGGGCUGGGAUGGUUUAACCAGAUUUUUCCAGAAAUUCCCAUCUCCUGGAUUUAACCAAGGAUUUGUUGUGUUUUAGGAGCUGUGGGGAUUUGGCUCUCAGUGCUUGGUCAGGGGUGGGGUGGGGUGAUCCAGACAGAGCAGGGAGGUCCCUCUGGAGCAGGGAGAUCCCUGUGGAGCAAGGUGAUCCAUCUGGAACAGGACAAGCACUCUGGAAUGGGAUGAUCCCUCCAGAGCAGGAUGGUCCAUCUGGAUCAGAACAAUCCCUCUGGAGCAGGAUGGUCCCUCUGGAACAGGAUGAUCCCUGUGGAGCAGGACAAUCCCUCUGGAGCAGGAUGGUCCCUCUGGAGCAGGACAAUCCCUGUGGAGCAGGACAAUCCCUCUGGAGCAGGAUGGUCCCUCUGGAACAGGACAAUCCCUGUGGAGCAGGAUGAUCCAUGUGGAGCAGGACAAUCCCUGUGGAGCAGGACAAUCCCUCUGGAGCAGGACAAUCCCUCUGGAGCAGGACAGUCCCUCUGG